GAUGAACGCUGGCGGCGUGCCUAAUACAUGCAAGUCGAGCGAACAGACGAGGAGCUUGCUCCUCUGACGUUAGCGGCGGACGGGUGAGUAACACGUGGAUAACCUACCUAUAAGACUGGGAUAACUUCGGGAAACCGGAGCUAAUACCGGAUAAUAUAUUGAACCGCAUGGUUCAAUAGUGAAAGACGGUUUUGCCGUCACUUAUAGAUGGAUCCGCGCCGCAUUAGCUAGUUGGUAAGGUAACGGCUUACCAAGGCGACGAUGCGUAGCCGACCUGAGAGGGUGAUCGGCCACACUGGAACUGAGACACGGUCCAGACUCCUACGGGAGGCAGCAGUAGGGAAUCUUCCGCAAUGGGCGAAAGCCUGACCGAGCAACGCCGCGUGAGUGAUGAAGGUCUUCGGAUCGUAAAACUCUGUUAUUAGGGAAGAACAAAUGUGUAAGUAACUAUGCACGUCUUGACGGUACCUAAUCAGAAAGCCACGGCUAACUACGUG
RNAcentral lists this ribosomal RNA (497 nucleotides) under uncultured bacterium. RNAcentral describes it as "partial 16S ribosomal RNA". It matches the Rfam family "Bacterial small subunit ribosomal RNA", at positions 28 to 507 of the family's 1533-position model. The record is from RNAcentral.